AAGAAAAGAAGAAAAAAA
RNAcentral lists this small RNA (18 nucleotides) under Arabidopsis thaliana (thale cress). RNAcentral describes it as "ATSL025340". The record is from RNAcentral. Lineage: Eukaryota; Viridiplantae; Streptophyta; Magnoliopsida; Brassicales; Brassicaceae.